Molecule: non-coding RNA, 136 nt
Organism: Enterobacter cloacae S611
Lineage: Bacteria; Pseudomonadati; Pseudomonadota; Gammaproteobacteria; Enterobacterales; Enterobacteriaceae
Source: Rfam
GUCAGCACAAACCGGAACCUUACUCGCUACACAAGGGGUGUUGAUGUCGGGGGAAACCCUCCCGUUUCGAUGCGGGAUAGAGCGAAAGACAAUGACCGGAAAACGACUAAAGCGCCCCAGCGGGCGCUUUAGUUUU